RNAcentral lists this ribosomal RNA (526 nucleotides) under uncultured bacterium. Its description in RNAcentral is "partial 16S ribosomal RNA". It matches the Rfam family "Bacterial small subunit ribosomal RNA", at positions 355 to 874 of the family's 1533-position model. The record is from RNAcentral.
UGGGGAAUUUUGGACAAUGGGCGAAAGCCUGAUCCAGCAAUGCCGCGUGUGUGAAGAAGGCCUUCGGGUUGUAAAGCACUUUUGCCCGGAAAGAAAUCCUUGGCUCUAAUACAGUCGGGGGAUGACGGUACCGGAAGAAUAAGCACCGGCUAACUACGUGCCAGCAGCCGCGGUAAUACGUAGGGUGCAAGCGUUAAUCGGAAUUACUGGGCGUAAAGCGUGCGCAGGCGGUUUGCUAAGACCGAUGUGAAAUCCCCGGGCUCAACCUGGGAACUGCAUUGGUGACUGGCAGGCUAGAGUAUGGCAGAGGGGGGUAGAAUUCCACGUGUAGCAGUGAAAUGCGUAGAGAUGUGGAGGAAUACCGAUGGCGAAGGCAGCCCCCUGGGCCAAUACUGACGCUCAUGCACGAAAGCGUGGGGAGCAAACAGGAUUAGAUACCCUGGUAGUCCACGCCCUAAACGAUGUCAACUAGUUGUUGGGGAUUCAUUUCCUUAGUAACGUAGCUAACGCGUGAAGUUGACCGCCU